GGAAGUAGUAUGUCGACCUCGGCGAUUUUCAACACGGACAGCAGCAUGUUUGUUUUCACUUGCAUGGCCUGAGUGGUGACCAUAUACGAGAAGUUCUUCAAGAUCUCGAAACACGCCAUCUGCGAAAACGACACUAUACGGAGUGAUCGUUUUGUCGUGGACCCGACGAGACGUCUCUGCAGAGAAUACGAGCAGUUUUCGAAUAAUAAUUAUAAUUAUUAUACUCUUUUCGAGGACGUCAUAUCGAUAAUAAUUAUCAAGUCAAAAUGUAAAACGAUAAGAACCGCAACUGUGUUGUGCACAACGUGAUAGGUACUGAAUAACGGCGAUGAAGCUCGCUUACAGUAAAUUGUUACACUAAAUCGUUCAACAAACUACAUGUUUUUUUUGCCCGAAGAAAAUGACAAAAAUAAAAAUAACAUUUUUUACUGAAGCAUCUAAAAGCUUUGUAAAAAUAAAAAUAACAGACAAUGCACAGUGCUGUGUACUGAAUACUGAUCCGUUGCACUACCCUAACCACCGAUCUUAAGUAAGUACCAGCUACUUAUCUAGUUAAGGUGUCUGUCAUCAGUCUUCGGUUAAAGUAAAGUGAUAAAAGAAGUUUUUUUUGUACGUUUUAAUUAAUUGUUUACAGUUUUAUCAGUGCAACUUAAUAAAAAUGAUUGUACUUUUUAUUUUUAUUCUAUAUGUAUUUUGUAAUAAAUAUAAUAUUCAAUACGAAUUGAAUAUUAUAUUCAUAACUACUAAAAUUAUUUUAUAAUUGUGAUUUUUUUUUUUUUUUUUUUUGUUAUUUUGUUUUAUAAAUUAUAAUCAUCGCUGACAUUUUGAAAAUUACAAAUAAUAUAAAUUUUACUCACGCAAACAUUUGC
This is a long non-coding RNA of Aphis gossypii (cotton aphid), 869 nucleotides long. RefSeq lists it as uncharacterized. The record is from RefSeq and is a predicted model, not a curated record. The transcript has 3 exons. Lineage: Eukaryota; Metazoa; Arthropoda; Insecta; Hemiptera; Aphididae.